Molecule: unclassified non-coding RNA, 211 nt
Filed under: plant metagenome
Description: partial contains small subunit ribosomal RNA, internal transcribed spacer 1, and 5.8S ribosomal RNA
Source: RNAcentral
UUUCCGUAGGUGAACCUGCGGAAGGAUCAUUCAUAAUAAAGUGUUUUAUGGCACUUUUUAAAAAUCCAUAUCCACCUCGUGUGCAAUGUUAGAUCUCGUCAAUCUUGGCGAGGUUUUUAUACAUCAACUCAUUCUUUAACUAAUUUGUCUGAAAAAUAUUAUGAAUACUUAAUUCAAAAUACAACUUUCAACAACGGAUCUCUUGGCUCUC